This 323-nucleotide long non-coding RNA is filed under the name Monodelphis domestica (gray short-tailed opossum). Its description in RNAcentral is "lncRNA (ENSMODG00000044450.1)". Lineage: Eukaryota; Metazoa; Chordata; Mammalia; Didelphimorphia; Didelphidae. The record is from RNAcentral.
AUGAAGACUGUAGCAUUUCUGCACGUUGGCAAGUUAGAUAUCCAACCAAACAGAAAUGCAUCAACAAGAUACCACAAAAUAGUUGCCCCUUAUCUAGCUUCCUUUGGCCAUCCUUUUGGAGAGGACCAAUGACAUCAUGGGAUGAGGUCUUAACUUGUAUAUGUAUGGGAUUUAAAUGAAGCUGAAGACAAAAGCCAGGACUACUGAUGAUGACCCAGAAUGCAGUGGAUGACCUUGGAAUCUUCUUAUCCAGAUAACAGUUUUUAAAAUGACCAUUUCCAUUCAAGGCACUGAAAACAACUGCCCAUGUGACUAUGGGGAAA